CGCCUCUUGUAAGACUAUAAAAUAAGAGGUCCCGCCUGCCCUGUGACUAUAAGUUUAACGGCCGCGGUAUUUUGACCGUGCGAAGGUAGCGCAAUCACUUGUCUUUUAAAUGGAGACCUGUAUGAAUGGCACAACGAGGGCUUAACUGUCUCCUCUUUCAAGUCAAUGAAAUUGAUCUCCCCGUGCAGAAGCGGGGAUAAAAACAUAAGACGAGAAGACCCUAUGAAGCUUCAGAUGUAAAGCAGAUCAUGUUAAACACUCCUUGUUAAAGGACAAAACCAAGUGAAACCUGCUCUAAUGUCUUUGGUUGGGGCGACCGCGGGGAAACAAAAAACCCCCACGUGGAAAGGGAGCACCCCUCCUACAACUAAGAGCCCCUGCUCUAGUUAACAGAAUUUCUGACCAAUAAGAUCCGGCAACGCCGAUCAACGGACCGAGUUACUCUAGGGAUAACAGCGCAAUCCCCUUUUAGAGCCCAUAUCGACAAGGGGGUUUACGACCUCGAUGUUGGAUCAGGACAUCCUAAUGGUGCAGCCGCUAUUAAGGGUUCGUUUGUUCAACGAUUAAAGUCCU
Molecule: ribosomal RNA, 573 nt
Filed under: Etheostoma caeruleum (rainbow darter)
Lineage: Eukaryota; Metazoa; Chordata; Actinopteri; Perciformes; Percidae
Description: partial large subunit ribosomal RNA
Rfam family: Bacterial large subunit ribosomal RNA
Source: RNAcentral